This 432-nucleotide ribosomal RNA is filed under the name Salmonella enterica. RNAcentral's name for it is "partial 23S ribosomal RNA". It matches the Rfam family "Bacterial large subunit ribosomal RNA", at positions 761 to 1191 of the family's 2925-position model. Lineage: Bacteria; Pseudomonadati; Pseudomonadota; Gammaproteobacteria; Enterobacterales; Enterobacteriaceae. The record is from RNAcentral. RNAcentral also lists the same sequence under 2 other names.
ACUAACUGGAGGACCGAACCGACUAAUGUUGAAAAAUUAGCGGAUGACCUGUGGCUGGGGGUGAAAGGCCAAUCAAACCGGGAGAUAGCUGGUUCUCCCCGAAAGCUAUUUAGGUAGCGCCUCGUGAAUUCAUCUCCGGGGGUAGAGCACUGUUUCGGCUAGGGGGCCAUCCCGGCUUACCAACCCGAUGCAAACUGCGAAUACCGGAGAAUGUUAUCACGGGAGACACACGGCGGGUGCUAACGUCCGUCGUGAAGAGGGAAACAACCCAGACCGCCAGCUAAGGUCCCAAAGUCAUGGUUAAGUGGGAAACGAUGUGGGAAGGCCCAGACAGCCAGGAUGUUGGCUUAGAAGCAGCCAUCAUUUAAAGAAAGCGUAAUAGCUCACUGGUCGAGUCGGCCUGCGCGGAAGAUGUAACGGGGCUAAACCAUG